Non-coding RNA from Pelobates cultripes (western spadefoot toad), 236 nucleotides. Lineage: Eukaryota; Metazoa; Chordata; Amphibia; Anura; Pelobatidae. The record is from the annotation of a GenBank genome assembly.
AUAGUGAUGUCGCGAACCGUUCGCAAACUUGCCGUGAACGGUUCGCCGCAGUUCGCGGCGAACUCCGGUCAGCUGACACAUCCCUGCCAAUCUCCGGCAGACCCUCCCUCCUAGACCUUCCCACCUCCUGGACAGCCUUCUUUCUGAGUUUAGCUCAACUAAGUUAACCAAAACAGGAAGUAACAGGACUGGUUGUUUGAUUGGCAGCCAAGAGGGUGUCACCAGGUUAAUUCACA